Molecule: long non-coding RNA, 540 nt
Filed under: Vitis vinifera (wine grape)
Lineage: Eukaryota; Viridiplantae; Streptophyta; Magnoliopsida; Vitales; Vitaceae
Description: long non-coding RNA (VVIN_LNC002863)
Source: RNAcentral
UUUAUUGGCAUGUCUUAAAGCUCCUUAUUGACAUUUAAAACAUAACCAGAAACAACUUUUCCUACUCCACAGUGCUUAUGGAAUUCUUGAAAAUCUGGAACAUAACUGUGAGUAAUCUUGGAAACAAUUAGGCAAUCUGUAGGUUCUUCACUUGCUCUCAUCGUUAAGUUACCCCACUCUUUCUGAUACCUGGACUUGCUACCUCUGAUUUACUUGGAGAUCAUCAACAAGAAGACAAUCGAGGUAAAGUGAGCCCACUGAUUCUUAUUCAUGUUGGUUAGAUGCUAACUUGCUGAUGUGUUCUGUCAAACUAAGCAAGCCCACUGGUGUGUUCUAUUGAAUUGAGAAACAUUAUAUUUACUCUUAAAUUUAAAUCUUUUAACCUGAAUUCAGAAUCAGCAGCGUCAUUAGAGUCACUGGCAGUGGCAAGCCUCGAUUCUUGCCCAAUUCUGUUGGCAGUUUAUCAUUUCUUGUAACCUGCAUUUCCGGGAAGAGGAUUGUCUUUUGCAUUCUGAACAUUCCAUUAACUGCUUGACGCUG